CAGUCGAACGAGCGAGAGAGAGCUUGCUUUCUCGAGCGAGUGGCGAACGGGUGAGUAUCGCGUGAGGAACCUGCCUCAAAGAGGGGGACAACAGUUGGAAACGACUGCUAAUACCGCAUAAGCCCACGGUGCUGCAUGGCACAGAGGGAAAAGGAGCAAUCCGCUUUGAGAUGGCCUCGCGUCCGAUUAGCUAGUUGGUGAGGUAACGGCCCACCAAGGCGACGAUCGGUAGCCGGACUGAGAGGUUGAACGGCCACAUUGGGACUGAGACACGGCCCAGACUCCUACGGGAGGCAGCAGUGGGGAAUAUUGCACAAUGGGGGAAACCCUGAUGCAGCGACGCCGCGUGGAGGAAGAAGGUCUUCGGAUUGUAAACUCCUGUUGUUGGGGAAGAUAAUGACGGUACCCAACAAGGAAGUGACGGCUAACUACGUGCCAGCAGCCGCGGUAAAACGUAGGUCACAAGCGUUGUCCGGAAUUACUGGGUGUAAAGGGAGCGCAGGCGGGAAGACAAGUUGGAAGUGAAAUCUAUGGGCUCAACCCAUAAACUGCUUUCAAAACUGUUUUUCUUGAGUAGUGCAGAGGUAGGCGGAAUUCCCGGUGUAGCGGUGGAAUGCGUAGAUAUCGGGAGGAACACCAGUGGCGAAGGCGGCCUACUGGGCACCAACUGACGCUGAGGCUCGAAAGUGUGGGUAGCAAACAGGAUUAGAUACCCUGGUAGUCCACACCGUANACGAUGAUUACUAGGUGUUGGAGGNUUGACCCCUUCAGUGCCGCAGUUAACAC
Molecule: ribosomal RNA, 786 nt
Filed under: uncultured bacterium
Lineage: Bacteria
Description: bacterial SSU rRNA
Rfam family: Bacterial small subunit ribosomal RNA
Source: RNAcentral